RNAcentral lists this long non-coding RNA (477 nucleotides) under Pogona vitticeps (central bearded dragon). RNAcentral describes it as "lncRNA (ENSPVIG00000003580.1)". Lineage: Eukaryota; Metazoa; Chordata; Lepidosauria; Squamata; Agamidae. The record is from RNAcentral.
UACUGUGUGUUUCCGGUUGCAGGAUCUUUGGGAAGCAUGGGUAUUUAUGCAAGUCAUUUCCACCAGAAUGAUGGCCAGGUCCUUAGAGAAAUCACAGAUCCUUCUCAAGCUGACUGGAUUGCAAUCCAUGCCGAGACCUGUAAAAUGACUGUACCGGAGGUUCAAAGAUGUUGGAGUUGGUUCCUUAUGUUACAGCCAGACCAGGCAGGGAAUUUGCCUCGAACACGCUUCCUGCAAACUGACAGCAUCUUUGGCCCGAAGUUGUUAGAACAAAUUCCAGUCACAGAUGAUGAUCAGAUAACAUUCCAGACAUACUGUAAUGCUGUGUCCUGGCUAUCUAAAAGCACCUUGGAGAUCAAAUUAAAAGGAUAUAUCUCUGAAGAUAGUUUUGUUGCCUGGGUGCAAUCCUUCCCACAAGAAAAAAUCAAGUCAAUUCUAAAUUUUCCAGUGAUACCUUCCAACCUGUCCUUCAGUUAA